RNAcentral lists this ribosomal RNA (253 nucleotides) under uncultured bacterium. RNAcentral's name for it is "partial 16S ribosomal RNA". It matches the Rfam family "Bacterial small subunit ribosomal RNA", at positions 524 to 776 of the family's 1533-position model. The record is from RNAcentral.
UACGUAGGGUGCAAGCGUUAUCCGGAAUUAUUGGGCGUAAAGAGCUCGUAGGCGGUUUGUCGCGUCGGGAGUGAAAACCUUGGGCUUAACUCAGGGCUUGCUUUCGAUACGGGCAGACUAGAGGUAUGCAGGGGAGAACGGAAUUCCUGGUGUAGCGGUGAAAUGCGCAGAUAUCAGGAGGAACACCGGUGGCGAAGGCGGUUCUCUGGGCAUGAUCUGACGCUGAGGAGCGAAAGUGUGGGGAGCGAACAGG